Molecule: long non-coding RNA, 407 nt
Organism: Aricia agestis (brown argus)
Lineage: Eukaryota; Metazoa; Arthropoda; Insecta; Lepidoptera; Lycaenidae
Exons: 3
Source: RefSeq, a predicted model, not a curated record
UAUGUUUUCCAGAUUAUCUUUCUCACCAUCUUCUUGGCAGUUACUGUUUUCAAAUAACGAAAUGUUUGCUUUAAAAACAGCAGAAAGGCUUAUAAAACAAGGUGCUAAAAAGAUUGUUCUACUUUUAAAAGAUCCAUCAAAAUGUGUGCACAUCCAAUUAAGAUCUUGGAGUAAAUAUGGUGUAGAAGUACAAAUCAUAAACGAAAACAUUUGGAAGGAGUCAAGCUGGUUGACUUGUAUCCAACAAUGCAAGGGCAGUCCAGUUGAAACCGUGUUCCUGAUCACUUCGGACGAGGAAGCCGAUAAUAUUAACAUAAUUGUUGAAAAAUUAUGUACAAUCAUACAUAGAUUAUGUCAUUCUUUAAAAUACUUUGCACUAGUGAAUGAUAAUGCUUUCAAAAACAAGC